CAUAUACUACACGCACGCACGCACCCACACACACACACAUAUAUAUAUAUAUAUACAGAAAACGCAUUGGAAAGUUAGUGCUUUGACACGUUUACAUUCAAAACAGAGUUGGUGAACACUUGGCUUCUUCAUGUUUCACUUUCAUGACAAGUUCUCUUAUGUUAUUGGAUAAUUAAUAAUGUGUUUUUUCUCCAAAUUCUGCUUAAGAAAAAUAGAAAAGGAAAUCUCAAGGGACAUUCGAAUAUAUUAUAAGCACAGAGCGGAACAGCGCAGAAACAGACAGUGAGAGAAAGAGAGAGAGAGAGACAGAAGCAGAAGAUAGAGACAAUCCACCAGUUGUUGCAGCUGCUUCAACAGAGAGUGAUGGUCGCUUAUAGGCGGAUGGGAUCUUACUUUUUGAAACCCACAUUUAUUUUCCUUUCUCACUCGCUGAAAAGCGGAAGAAUUUCCAAGAAAAUGGAGGGCGUUCUGUCCUUCAUAGACUGUUUCUAAGGUCUUCCUAAUCUCAGUAACUCAGUUGGCUUAUAUUUGCACAUUGUAUGUUGUACCUUGAAAUAAUCUUUUCAAAAGAGUAAUGGAGGAACUCUUCUACAAGCAUGGUCAAGUUGGAAAGGGAUGCUAACCAUGGCUUCUUGUCCAGCCACCUGCAAGGAAGAUAAACGCUGCUGUUGGGGACUUUGAUAAUAAGCAGAUCGUGUCGCCAUAUCCUCUGUAUAGUAGCUCAUGAACAUCAAGUCAUGGUAGUGCUUCUUCUACAGAUACACAUCCUAUUAGUUCUUAAUUUGUCAAUUCUUGCAGAAAGUUUUGGAUAGUUGUAUUGUCAAUUCUUGAUUUUGUGCUCUAUAGAAAUGAUUUUUGGAUGCUAGUUUUAUAAACCAACUUUCAGUACCUUUCAUAGAAAUAGAAUAAAAGGUUCCAACUUUAUAAACAUUCAAUUCCUUAAAUUUUUAUAUGUCAACUGAUCAAUGUGGAAUAAAUUUAGUUCAGGUGUAGUAAGGAAAUGCUUUAAUUUGAAGCUCCUGCUUCCGUAUUUUGUUGGCCGCAAAGUAUGGACCCUUGCAGCAUUAGUGCUUCUAUUUUUUCUGAAUCUAUGUGUGUGUAAUAAACUGCCCAUUACAAUUA
Ricinus communis (castor bean) is the source of this 1122-nucleotide long non-coding RNA. RefSeq lists it as uncharacterized. The transcript has 3 exons. The record is from RefSeq and is a predicted model, not a curated record. NCBI's taxonomy places the organism in Eukaryota, Viridiplantae, Streptophyta, Magnoliopsida, Malpighiales, Euphorbiaceae.